GAUGAAGAACGUAGUGAAAUGCGAUACGUAAUGUGAAUUGCAAAUUCAGUGAAUCAUCGAGUCUUUGAACGCACAUUGCGCCCCCUGGUAUUCCGGGGGGCAUGCCUGUCCGAGCGUCAUUGCUGCCCUCAAGCACGGCUUGUGUGUUGGGCCCCGUCCUCCGAUCCCGGGGGACGGGCCCGAAAGGCAGCGGCGGCACCGCGUCCGGUCCUCGAGCGUAUGGGGCUUUGUCACACGCUCUGUAGGCCCGGCCGGCGCUUGCCGAUCAACCCAAAUUUUUAUCCAGGUUGACCUCGGAUCAGGUAGGGAUACCCGCUGAACUUAAGCAUAACAGUAAGCGGAGGA
This 345-nucleotide unclassified non-coding RNA is filed under the name soil metagenome. RNAcentral's name for it is "partial contains 5.8S ribosomal RNA, internal transcribed spacer 2, and large subunit ribosomal RNA". The stretch from base 1 to 119 matches the Rfam family "5.8S ribosomal RNA", at positions 35 to 154 of the family's 154-position model. The record is from RNAcentral.